UUUAAAUAUUUUUUUUUAAAUUGUUGAUUCCAUAUACGAUAAAUCCCCUUUAAAUGACUGCUUAAAAUUUUAGUAACUACUGAUUAAACAAGUAGAAAUUAUGUGGCUAAUGUUUUAUGGUAGACAAAACUUGUCCUUUAUAGAAAAGCAACCUGAAUGUGAAAUGAUAUUAAUAAAGAAGCUAAAAAUUACAGAACACUAAUGUUAACUCUGAGUAGCAAUGAUGUUCAUUUGUUCAAACCAACUAUAUAGUUUUAUUUUCUGAUUUACUUGACUUAACCCCUUACCAAAUCUUUGUCAUCUCUAGAACUUUAAACAUUAUACACCAGAUAACAUAAUGGAUUUUAUCACAAUGAUUAAAUUGAUGGUAUCUAGUCUAGUCAUUUGUUUUCCAACUGUAAAGCUUUUCUUAUCCAGUGGGCAAUUUAAAAUAAUCUGAACUUCAGAAAGUUUUUUUCUAAGAUUUUAAUAUUUUAAAAAACAUUCUUAUAAAAUGAACAUUUGCACAGCACAAAUGUUAAGGGUACAGAUUCUCGAGAUUUUGAGAUUGUCUCGGUUUAAAUUCUGACUCUAUCACUUAUUACCUGCAGGGGUAUGCACUGAAUUAAAAUGUCAAGUAUUCUUAAUUGAAUUCUUUUAUUGGGCUUAUUUGCAUUAUUUUCCUUUAAUUUUAACUUAUAUCCUAUAAAAUAAAAAUAAACAUUACUAAAUAUGCUCUUUAGAUUAGGAACAGGUUAGUUUCACAAACCUGAAAUGAUAUUAUACAGUAGGGAUCCAUGUCCAUCGAGAUUGCAAACAAAUUAUCAAAACACUAUUUCUCAUUUUUUGUAUAUACUUUUUAAGAAAUUUUCAUAUACAUUUUUCUUUAUUCCCUUAAAUUCUUCAACAAAAAUUAACCAUAAAUUCAGCAAACAGUCAAAAACUCAUGGUACUCUUAUCAAAUCUUUGUGUUUUACCAAAGAGUUUACUUUUCAUUGAUUUUGAACUAAAAAGGAAAAAUAAAACCUUCUGUAAUGUGGAAUUAAAAGGGAUUUUUCAAAAACAGCUAGACUGUCAACUUUCUGGUUAAAACCUUGCCUAUUGUUUGAGGAGAAGCAGCAAAAGAAUGCCUAAUUUUCCAAUACCAAGUUAAAGUCAAACAGAAAGAUUAAUUCCUUAUCAUCUUAAAUCCAAUUAAGUAUCUCCCUGGUAGUAAGAGAAACAAUAUUGUCCCAUAGUUAAGUGUUUUGAAUUCAAGCCAGCCUGCUGAGUGUUGCCUGAAAAAUCCAGACAUCCUGGGUAUAUAAAAUUUAGAAAAUAAUGCAUUAUGGAAACAAUGCAUAAUGUUAAGUGCCUUUAGUGAAGCCAGUGCUAUAAUAUGAUGACAUUAAAGUACCCAUAGUUUCUUAAUAUAUAAUGACAACAGAUUAAAGUCAAAAUUGUAUAAUCCUUGAUAAAACUAAGGAGAAGUAAUGUUUAGGAAAUAUGACAUGCAAACAAUCAGCAAAUAAACAACAAAAGCACCACAUAUAUGUAAUUCAUGUGUCCCAGCUUCCUGUAUUAUUUUGUACUAACUUUGUUGUUAUUCUCUAUGUGAAUAAAUGUGCAUCCUAAUGAAUAUCCUCUUUAAUGUUUCUAUGUAGUGACUUUCACAAAGGAAAAAUAAUCUUGACGUGUUCUCAAUACAUUAACGGGGUCAUGAGAGUUAGCCAUGGAGCAAAUAUUUUAUUAGAAAAGCAAGUGAGUCAUAUUUAUUAGAGUGUGGCAUUAAAUUAUUAUAAUGUUUAUAAUGGAAAAGGUAAUAUGAAGAUAUAACCACUGUUUCAAGCUAUUAACAAACUUUCAUUAUUAUUCUUUAUUCAAUUUCCUACCCUAAUUUAGUUUUCCAACUGUAGAAAUGAUUCUUAGACUUAAAAGCUUUCAUACCAAAUCCAAACACAAAGGAGAAAAGAGCCACAAUACUAAACCAAAAGGAGUUUCUUUUUUACUUACUUCUGCCAUUCUUCAGUGUGAAUAGGCAAGAUAAUGUGAACUAUUUUUAUUAAGAAAACCAGAUAAUGAUUUAGAUGAAAAAAAACAGACUGUUCUCUUAGUCAUAAAAGCAGAUCACUGAUCUAAUAGUUUUGUCCUUAGCUCUCAUAAACAGUAGGGGUAUGCAUUCAUCUUCACAUUUGUAUUGUAUGAAAGGGCUAAAAUGAAGUUUUUUUUUCUCACUGCCUAUGUAUUUUUUUCUCCUUACACUUUCAUGUAGGAUUAUCACUCAUUAAAAUAGAAGUAUGUUUUUUCUCUGUAUGUGUUUGGGAAAAAAAUACUAUUACAACACAUGUAAAAAAGAAAGUUAACAAUAUAUAGUAUAUUCAUUUAAAUUAAUUUAAGGAUUAUGGGCAGUAAAUGCCAUAUUUGAAAGAUGAUAUAUGAAAGUCUAAGUUUUAUAACUUGCUUAAAGUCACACAGCAAAACUCUCUACAAUUUAGGACAUCAGUUCCUGUUUCCCAAAUAAGGCUUAUGUUUACAGACCACCAUGCCACAAAAAUAUGAUAAACAAAUCAAAUUAAAACUAUAUAUUUCAUUUAUCAUGACAUAUAUUUCUAUAUGAAAGAUAUUAGAGCUUAUUCAUUUAUUCAAUAGGAUACUGACAGACUCUCAUUGCUGCUGAUACAGACAAGUUCUUUCUGUCAUGAAACAUAUUUAGUGAGAAAAAAAAGAAUAAACAAAUAAUUAAAUAAGAUAUAUUUUAGAUAUUAAUAACAAUAUAAUACAAUCGUGGAAAUGUAUUUCAGUACAAUGUAGAGUUAUGAAAGAAGGUAUUUUCAGAAGGACAGUCAAUGGAGAACUUACUAAUGUAGUGAUAUUUGAAGUUAAAUGGUAAUACUGGCAGGAACUGAACAUAUCUGUUUGGAAAAGGAGAGUCAGAGACAAAAGUGAAUAGCUACUGCACACAUUUGGUUAUAAUGCCUAAAGAAUCUGCUGAUAUAUGUGCUAUUGUGGGCUAAGUAAAGAAUCAAAAAUUACUCUAUAUCUUUGGUUUGAGCAACCUAACUGGAGCUAUGGACAUGCAGAACUCACAGAAAGAAACGGCUUGGAGAGGAAAAAUACUAUGGGGAUUCAGUAGCUCUGGUUUGAAUUUAUGAAGUUUCAGAUGUCUAUGCAAAUGGACAUAUUAGGUAGGCAGUUGGAUGAGGGUUGCAGGCACCAAAAUAAAGACAAGGGAGAGGAAUUGAGAUCACAUGAGGAGAUUUAAAGUGAGAAAAGAUCAGGGUUCAUGAUUAAACCUGACUCUACCAUUGGAAAAAACUCAGAAAAGGAGAUUGAAAAGGAGUAGCUAGUAAGGAAAAAGGGAAGGGAAGGAUAUUAAUAUGUCUUGGAAGAGAAGACACUUCCAAGAAACAAAUUUAUUAACUGCAUCAAAUUCUGCUAUAAAGUCACAUAAAAUUGAAUGUUAUCAUGCAUGCUGAAAAUAUGAGGGUCUUUUGUAAUCUUGGUAGACCUGAUAAAUGUACAGUUGUUGGAAUUCUAGAAAUGAGAAGUUUAAGACUGAAAUACAACACAAUCUUGUGAAUACUGGUAAAAAAAAAUUAUAUGGUAUCUUGACAUCACCAUGGGAUAGAGAAAAAUAUGUUUUUCAUUUUUCAAUGAAAAAUGCCAGACUGUGAUUUUAUACUGAUAAAACUGAUCCAUAGGUGAGAGGAAAGACAUGAUUCAGGAUAUUCACACAAGUAAAAUGCUCUGAAAAGAGGAAAAUAUUUGGAUUAUGAAAAAAUGAGCCUCCCAAAGAACAGAGAUACAGAGUAAGCUAUAAGACUUAACCAGAGAAUAUCAUUAAAUACAAAUAGCGACAUAUUAGUACUGAAAAGUUCCUAUAUAAUUGAUCCUAUUUUUUUCAAUUUGUUCAGUCUUUCAAUAUGUAUAUUUUAAGGCAAGCUAUGUGGAGAAGGAAGUGAAAAAAAACACAUGCAUGUCAUAUAGCCUACUUUCCAAUGUGAGGAAUAUGUAAUGAAAAUAAUAUUUAAUGCUAUAUGAGCUUGUGAGAAAUGUUAGGAAGAAAAAUAAAGCACAGUUAAGAGGACAGUGAUGGAAUUGCCACUUUAUACACAAUGACCAAAGAAGGCCCCACAAUGGGGAUGGCAUUCAAACACUAAAUAAUGCUGUAUAUUAUGUGGGAGACAGUGUUUAAAAAGAACAAGCAGGAAAUACAAGGCCAAUGAGGUCCCCUUAGUCUGCUGUUUUCAAGAACAGCAGAGAGGUUGCUGUGUUGCAGCAGAAGCAGAGUGGAAAAGACUGGUAGGAAAUGCAGUCUGAGUGGUAGUAAGAAGGAAAUUCAUUCUAAGUUUUAUAGGUCAUACAAAUAUAUAUUUUAGUGAAAUUCAAUUGGGAAAACAAGGAAACUUUUGAGCAAAUUAAAAGAACUAUCUAAUGUAUAUUUUUAAAAAAUUUCUAAGACCUCUGAAUGAGAAUAUUCUUUAAGAGGGGGAAGUCAAAGCCAGGUGAAUAGGUAAAGGAUCUAGAGCAGAUAAUUAAUCAGAGAAAAUAGCUGUAGGUAAAGGAAGUUAUGAAAUCUAAUGUCGUGGGAGUUCCCGGGUUGUGGCACAGUGGAAAUGAAUCAGACUAGUACCCAUGAGGAUGCAGGUUCGAUCCCAAGCCUUGUUCAGUAGGUUAAGGAUCCAGCAUUGCCAUGAGGUGUGAUGUAGGUCACAUACACGGCUCGGAUCUGGCCCUGUUCUGGGUGUGGUAUAAGCCAGUAGCUGGGGGUCCAACUGGACGCCUACCCUGAGAACUUCCAUAUGCCAUGAGUGUGGCCCU
This 4779-nucleotide long non-coding RNA is filed under the name Sus scrofa (pig). RNAcentral's name for it is "lncRNA (ENSSSCG00000052912.1)". The record is from RNAcentral. Lineage: Eukaryota; Metazoa; Chordata; Mammalia; Artiodactyla; Suidae.